CCUACGGGUGGCAGCAGUGAGGAAUAUUGGUCAAUGGGAGAGAUCCUGAACCAGCCAAGCCGCGUGAGGGAAGACGGCCCUAUGGGUUGUAAACCUCUUUUGUCGGAGAACAAAACCCGGGACGUGUCCCGGACUGCGUGUAUCCGAAGAAAAAGCAUCGGCUAACUCCGUGCAGGCAGCCGCGGUAAUACGGAGGUUGCGAGCGUUAUCCGGAUUUAUUGGGGUUAAAGGGUGCGUAGGCGAUCCGUUAAGUCAGCGGUAAAAUUGCGGGGCUCAACCCCGUCGAGCUGUUGAAACUGGCAGACUGGAGUGGGGGAGAAGUACGCGGAAUGCGCGGGGUAGCGGUGAAAUGCGUAGAUAUCGCGCAGAACUCCGAUUGCGAAGGCAGCGUACCGGCGCCAGACUGACGCUGAGGCACGAAAGCGUGGGGAUCGAACAGGAUUAGAUACCCCAGUAGUC
Molecule: ribosomal RNA, 459 nt
Filed under: uncultured bacterium
Lineage: Bacteria
Description: partial 16S ribosomal RNA
Rfam family: Bacterial small subunit ribosomal RNA
Source: RNAcentral